CAGCCGCCGCGGGAAAACGAAGGGGGCUAGCGUUGUUCGGAUUAACUGGGCGUAAAGGGCGCGUAGGCGGGUUUUUAAGUCAGAGGUGAAAUCCCAAGGCUCAACCUUGGAACUGCCUUUGAUACUGGAAGUCUUGAGUCCGGGAGAGGUGAGUGGAACUGCGAGUGUAGAGGUGAAAUUCGUAGAUAUUCGCAAGAACACCAGUGGCGAAGGCGGCUCACUGGCCCGGUACUGACGCUGAGGCGCGAAAGCGUGGGGAGCAAACAGAAUUAGAUACCCCCGUAGUCCCUGUCUCUUAUAA
This 301-nucleotide ribosomal RNA is filed under the name uncultured bacterium. RNAcentral describes it as "partial 16S ribosomal RNA". It matches the Rfam family "Bacterial small subunit ribosomal RNA", at positions 509 to 809 of the family's 1533-position model. The record is from RNAcentral.